RNAcentral lists this ribosomal RNA (250 nucleotides) under uncultured bacterium. Its description in RNAcentral is "partial 16S ribosomal RNA". It matches the Rfam family "Bacterial small subunit ribosomal RNA", at positions 525 to 775 of the family's 1533-position model. The record is from RNAcentral.
ACGUAGGGGGCUAGCGUUAUCCGGAAUUACUGGGCGUAAAGGGUGCGUAGGUGGUUUCUUAAGUCAGAGGUGAAAGGCUACGGCUCAACUGUAGUAAGCCUUUGAAACUGGGAAACUUGAGUGCAGGAGAGGAGAGUGGAAUUCCUAGUGUAGCGGUGAAAUGCGUAGAUAUUAGGAGGAACACCAGUUGCGAAGGCGGCUCUCUGGACUGUAACUGACACUGAGGCACGAAAGCGUGGGGAGCAAACAG